RNAcentral lists this long non-coding RNA (200 nucleotides) under Elaeis guineensis (African oil palm). Its description in RNAcentral is "long non-coding RNA (EGUI_LNC005760)". Lineage: Eukaryota; Viridiplantae; Streptophyta; Magnoliopsida; Arecales; Arecaceae. The record is from RNAcentral.
AUGCAAUACAAGUUCUAAGAAACAAAAUAAUUGAGUUUACUUUUUUUUUAAAAAAUGAAAAAAGAUAUCUAUUCUAAAUCCCAUCUUAGAUUUCUUAUGGAUUCCACAUAAACCAAGUCCAUCAUACGAAGGGUUUUACAUGUCAUUAGGGAUUACGGAUGAUAUCAUGUCCUAUCAAUUUUUAGCAAAACUUUAUAGCA